RNAcentral lists this ribosomal RNA (669 nucleotides) under Periconia sp. RNAcentral's name for it is "SSU rRNA". It matches the Rfam family "Eukaryotic small subunit ribosomal RNA", at positions 87 to 764 of the family's 1831-position model. Lineage: Eukaryota; Fungi; Ascomycota; Dothideomycetes; Pleosporales; Periconiaceae. The record is from RNAcentral.
CUGCGAAUGGCUCAUUAAAUCAGUUAUCGUUUAUUUGAUAGUACCUUACUACAUGGAUAACCGUGGUAAUUCUAGAGCUAAUACAUGCUAAAAACCUCGACUUCGGAAGGGGUGUAUUUAUUAGAUAAAAAACCAAUGCCCUCCGGGGCUCCUUGGUGAUUCAUAAUAACUUCUCAGAUCGCAUGGCCUUGCGCCGGCGACGGUUCAUUCAAAUUUCUGCCCUAUCAACUUUCGAUGGUAAGGUAUUGGCUUACCAUGGUUUCAACGGGUAACGGGGAAUUAGGGUUCGAUUCCGGAGAGGGAGCCUGAGAAACGGCUACCACAUCCAAGGAAGGCAGCAGGCGCGCAAAUUACCCAAUCCCGAUACGGGGAGGUAGUGACAAUAAAUACUGAUACAGGGCUCUUUAGGGUCUUGUAAUUGGAAUGAGUACAAUUUAAACCUCUUAACGAGGAACAAUUGGAGGGCAAGUCUGGUGCCAGCAGCCGCGGUAAUUCCAGCUCCAAUAGCGUAUAUUAAAGUUGUUGCAGUUAAAAAGCUCGUAGUUGAACCUUUGGCCUGGCUGGCGGGUCCGCCUCACCGCGUGCACUCGUCCGGCCGGGCCUUUUUCUUCUGGAGAACCGCAUGCCCUUCACUGGGUGUGUUGGGGACCGGACUUUUACUUUGAAAAA